GACACAGAGCACAUAAUUCUCUUACUGCCUGUGUGAGCAGGGACUGUGGUUUCCUCUUCACAGAUCAACCCCUAGCACCUGACACAAAGUAGGAGCUUUUAACUGAAUGAGCGACUGCAGAUGAGUCGUUUCUGAAAGUGGGUAUCAGAUGCGUGGUUUAGUGAACUGUCGGGUACUGGAUGCAGAGAUUAGGACGGAAGGUGACCACGGAACACUCCCCCAGGCCUCUCAGGUCAGAUAGUGGCUUUUUAAAACACCUUUAAUUUUAGAUUUGUCCUUGUCCUAUUUAAAUGUAAACCAUAAACUUUUUACUGUUAAAAGCAGAAGUUCAAAAACAUGAUGAAGGAAUCGUAUUAAGAUUAUAAAUGAAGAUGAACUUGUGAAACACUCAUUUUAACUCUUUUUAGUACUUCUUUCUAAACCACUCUACUUCUCCCGUCUUAGCAAUCAUUUAAUCAUCUCUUGAUGACUCAGGUCAUCAUUUGUCACUGACAGUCACUGAUAGGAUGUAAAUGAUCUGAUACACUGAUCUUAACUGGCACUGAAUUUGAUAAAUGUAUGGUUUUUCUUGUCUUUAUUAAUUUGUAUAUUUCCUGUCAAAUGAAAAAUAUAUAUGUGAAAUUAAUGAAUGAAGAAAAUUGAAAGAGCCACUCCUUAGGUUUUUUUUCCCUGCCCGCAGUA
Molecule: long non-coding RNA, 681 nt
Filed under: Bos taurus (domestic cattle)
Lineage: Eukaryota; Metazoa; Chordata; Mammalia; Artiodactyla; Bovidae
Description: long non-coding RNA NONBTAT015313
Source: RNAcentral